UACGUAGGCAGCGAGCGUUGUUCGGAAUUACUGGGCGUAAAGAGUGUGUAGGCGGUGUUCCCAGUCUGUUGUGAAAUCUCCCGGCUUAACUGGGAGGGUGCAGCGGAAACUAGAAUGCUAGAGGGUGGGAGAGGUAAGCGGAAUUCCUGGUGUAGCGGUGAAAUGCGUAGAUAUCGGGAGGAACACCUGCGGUGUAGACGGCUUACUGGACCAUAACUGACGCUGAGGCACGAAAGCGUGGGUAGCAAACAGG
This 253-nucleotide ribosomal RNA is filed under the name uncultured bacterium. Its description in RNAcentral is "partial 16S ribosomal RNA". It matches the Rfam family "Bacterial small subunit ribosomal RNA", at positions 524 to 776 of the family's 1533-position model. The record is from RNAcentral.